Molecule: ribosomal RNA, 205 nt
Filed under: uncultured bacterium
Lineage: Bacteria
Description: partial 16S ribosomal RNA
Rfam family: Bacterial small subunit ribosomal RNA
Source: RNAcentral
UACGUAGGGUGCAAGCGUUGUCCGGAAUUAUUGGGCGUAAAGAGCUCGUAGGCGGUUUGUCGCGUCUGCUGUGAAAACUCAGGGCUUAACCCUGAGCCUGCAGUGGGUACGGGCAGACUAGAGUGUGGUAGGGGAGAUCGGAAUUCCGUGGUGUAGCGGUGGAAUGCGCAGGAUAUCAGGAGGAACACCGGUGGCGAAGGCGGGU